Molecule: ribosomal RNA, 465 nt
Filed under: Vreelandella stevensii
Lineage: Bacteria; Pseudomonadati; Pseudomonadota; Gammaproteobacteria; Oceanospirillales; Halomonadaceae
Description: partial 16S ribosomal RNA
Rfam family: Bacterial small subunit ribosomal RNA
Source: RNAcentral
CCUACGGGAGGCUGCAGUGGGGAAUAUUGGACAAUGGGCGAAAGCCUGAUCCAGCCAUGCCGCGUGUGUGAAGAAGGCCUUCGGGUUGUAAAGCACUUUCAGUGGGGAAGAAAGCCUUGGGGCUAAUACCCUCGAGGAAGGACAUCACCCACAGAAGAAGCACCGGCUAACUCCGUGCCAGCAGCCGCGGUAAUACGGAGGGUGCGAGCGUUAAUCGGAAUUACUGGGCGUAAAGCGCGCGUAGGCGGUCUGAUAAGCCGGUUGUGAAAGCCCCGGGCUCAACCUGGGAACGGCAUCCGGAACUGUCAGGCUAGAGUGCAGGAGAGGAAGGUAGAAUUCCCGGUGUAGCGGUGAAAUGCGUAGAGAUCGGUAGGAAUACCAGUGGCGAAGGCGGCCUUCUGGACUGACACUGACGCUGAGGUGCGAAAGCGUGGGUAGCAAACAGGAUUAGAUACCCCGGUAGUC